UUCACAUUAGGGUCACACAAUCAAUUACCUCUUGAAUGUAUCGUCUCUAUUUCCAAUAUCUGAACACAUAAGGAAACUAUAAUCUCCUCCUUCACCUUAUCGGUCUCCUCCUUACAGCAAUUCAGUCAUACUAAUAAUUGCUAUUUCCACCAAUAUAUUCACCCUCAUAAUCUCCAACUGUAAUACUACGCCCUCAUAGCUUUCAGCACACAAUUAUCCUCGUUCCAAUCAUUGGAAUUCUUCACACAGAACUGCCAUUCACAUUACAAUGUUUCACACAAACACAAACUCAUUCUCUCUGUUGAACUACAAUCAGAUUUCAGCAUUCAAUCUUUCUUCUUCUCAAAUAAUACCAAUCACAUUUCCAUUCCAUAAUUCACUUCACAAUAUUUAGAAACUUUCAAUCCUCUUAUUCAAAGAAAAUAACAAACAAAAGAAAAGAGGUAGCACUAAGCUUACUCCGGCUCAUAACUCUCAUAGUCUGGCCUUUUCUUCCCCUCUCCCAUCCUCCUCAUACUACCCCGAGAUACCAACUCCUAUACUAUAGAUGAUAACUACUUUUCCUGACUAUUCAUCCAUUCUACCUACUUAACCACCUUUUCAGCAGUUAUCUAUCCCUGUUUAUACUAUACACUAGGUAUCUACAUUCUGAAAAUAAGUACUUAUUCUACAUAGCCCCACUCUUAACUAUGCAGCGUCCUCGCAAACACUCAAUUGAUACCUAUCUAAAAAUUAUCUAACAAAACUCCACAAAAAUUGCAAUCCCUUUGGCCUAACUAAUUAAUCAAUUGCUGCAGUAUCUAUUAUUCGUUCUACCGAUUCUGGUUCCAAUUGUAAAUCUUUGUCCUCCUCCAAUCCUUCCAUCGGCUCCUACCUCAACUGAGCUAAAAGGUCUUCAUUAUACUCACCCAGUUCAUGGACUUGAGCUUCCAAUUUCAGGAUCUGGGCAUCUCUCAAUUCCAACUGGCACUAAAAGUGACUCUUCUCUUCUAGAACUUCGGAAACUGGCAACGUCGAUACUUGUGUUUGAUCAAUAUUGACUAAAUCCUCUGCCAAUCUUGUCACCUCGCCAUUUAAGGCCUCAAUUUCAGCCCUUAACCGCUCUGUUUCACAUCUGUAUUGGUCACUUAAUACUAAAUUCUCUUACGCCAAUAACUCGGUCUUUUCUCGUUCCAUUACCAACUGACCCUUUGAUUUUUCUAGUUCCAAAAUUGAAUGACUAUAAGCCCGAAAUAGUUCUUGCCUGUGGAUCUCCACCAUGCGUUCUCUUUCUUUGUUCCAAGCUUCCUGUUGUUCCCCAAUUUAUUGUUCUAAUAGCAGCUUGGAUUCUGCAUUCGCCUGGAUGAUCCGUUCUUGCUCUUCAAUUCUUCGGGUCUGCUCCGAUAUCACCUUUUUGCUUGCCUCUAAUUCCUGUUUACCACUACCCUCUACAUCCAAUGUUUGUACUAUGCAAUGUAUUUGUGAAAUAUACUUCAAUAGAGCAUUUUUAAGAUAUACGCCUUCCGGUAGUCGGCCCUGUGGAAAUGCUAACUGAUUGAUAUUUAACAACAUUGGGACUUCAUUCUCAUCUUCCACCACCGAAUGAAUCGGAUCCGUUUUCGGUGCCACUAGACGACUUGAUUCCCCAAUUUCAUAUAUUACCUCCAUUGUAUUGACAUUCUGUGCCAACGAAUUUUGUUCUCGCUACAGAGGCACUAGCAUUGGUUCAGAACUUCCCUCUAUUGGUGAUGUUUGCCGCAAUGUAUACACGAUCAUAGCAUUUACAUAAUUGGAACAUAGCAACGCUGUAAACUUCCCUAUUUUGCACUUGGCUCCCAUUUUUGCAUGAAUACGGGUUGCUACAUAAGCUACCCAAUUGAACACCAUUCCUUCAAAUGUCCCUAUCGCUGCAAAUAUUAACUGUCUUGACAUAUAUGUGUUGUGUCGAUACAACCCUAGACGCCUCAACACGAAGCGCAACCAUUCGAUGAGCUCUGGUGUAAUUGCCUCAGCCGUCCACCAACCUUGGUUCUUCUCAAAUGAUGACAUGCCACUUUUGAAAUAACUUCCCGGUCGGAAGUCACUGGACUCCUCAACACCCACCGCAAUCUCUCCUACCGAAAGAAACAACACUUUUUCGAGGAUCUUCUCAUCAAUACCGAUAAUGCGCCCUUCUACUACGCUCGAUCCAUCUUGUGGAUCAUAGUUUGUGAUGUAUUCUUCCACUAAUGCCACAUUAAUUGAAGGCAAACUAUCUGACCUUCGUAAAAAUUGAAACAUUUUCAUGUUUUGAAAAUCUCAUAUUCUCCUUGGCAUCCAGUAAAUCUCCAGCUUCACAGGCUCCAUAUUGGUAACGAUUACUAUGGAUGGUGGUCCUAAAUUGCAUUUAGCUUUCACAUUUCGGCCACUUUUCUCUCUAUCCGUAGCUCUCUUUGCACUCUCCAUCGCCAUGACGCACACUCUUUCAAGCUCUAACCGUCAAUACUAUGCUUCAGUACUCCAAAACACCCAAAAUUAUAACACCGAAAAGAAACAAUAACAGAAUGCGAUACCUAAGAAUGACCGUAAAUAGGUGCCCCACUCCUAUUCUUUUACCUAGUGGUGAUAACGAUAACAUGUUAUCCCUACUAUCCAUUUCUCACCCCCGUCCCAUUUGACAUAUUAGUAAUUACUAACUAUCCUUUCAGCCGCCUCUACACCCUAACACACUUAAUUAAGUCUAUCCUAAGUACAUUCAACGUGACCUCUUUUAGAAAUUGAAAACCUGUCCCGGGUUUUACGUAUGAUAUAACCGUAAUUGGUUCCCGUUAAUACAGGUAUUGAAUCGCUGACCCAUAAAAUCCUCCAAUUGAACAGACCCAUUGGAAAACCCUUCAAUCACACGAUAUAGCCCAUGCCAGCGAACUUGAAAUUUGCUCAAAAAAUGAUUAAACUUGCUAUCAAACAACAAUACCAAAUCAUUGGGUAUAAAACUCUUCGGACGCAGUUUACUAUCAUAGUAACUCUUUCACCGUUUUUGAGUUGCUUCCAUUUUGAAGAGAGAUGUAGCCCAUAUUUCAUCUAAUUUAUCCAACUCUGCCAACCGAUAUUGAAGUGAUUCCUUAUCUCUAAGACGUUCAUCCAACGCAAUGUGUAAACUCUGAACUUCCAAUUCAAUGGGUAAUAUUGCUUCUUGCCAGUACACCAAUUGGGAUGGUGUAGAAUUGGUAGUUAUUUUAUAUGUAGUACGAUACGUCCACAAUGCCGCAAAUAAUUUAGUAUCCCAAUUCGUUCCCGUAUCUGAAAUUGUUUUGGUUAAAAUCUUACAUAGAAUAUCAUUGGUCUUUUUCAUCUGUCCAUUGGCCCGAGGAUGAUAUGGUGUUGUUUUCCUGUGCUUGAUUUUGUAUGUGUUCAUCAAGGCUCCUAUGGUAGCAUUUAUGAAAUGGGUGCCGUGAUCGCUAACCAAUUCCUUCAGACACCCAAAUCGAGUAAUAAUAUUCUCGUAUAGAAAUGUGGCCACCGUACUGGCAUUAUCAUUGCGGAUAGCAAUAGCCUCUGUCCAUUUGGUUACAUAGUCCGUAGUGACUAUAAUAUAUCACUUUUGUCCAUGUCUCAAUGCUAGUGCAAUGGGUCCAACAAAAUCAAUUCUCAUUUCUCAAAUGGUGCAUGUGCCAAGAUUGGUACUAACGGCAUUGCUGAAGUACCCAUGGGUCGACCAAUUCGUUGAUAAGGAUCACAACGAUGAACAAAUUGGUGCACAUCAGAAAACAUUGUAGGCCACCAAUAUCCGGCCAUUAAAGCCUUGCGAGCAGUACUGUCUCCCGCAAAAUAUCCACCACAACUAUUCAAAUGACAUCCUUCCAAAAUUGUACAAACUUCACUUUGAAAGAUGCAAUGGCGUAAAAUUCCAUCCUGCCCUUGUUUAUACAAGGCAUCUCCAAUCAUGGUAUACGGCGCACUUUUUAAAAUCAGACGCUUCUUUAGUUUUUCAUUAUAAGAAAUGAAAAAAAUCUGAAACAUUAGAUAUUGGAUCAAUUCACCAUAUUCGGGUGUAAUGACAUCUACAGCGAAUAGUUGUGCAUCCAAAAGAGCAUCGUUUAUCGGUUCAUUACCCAGUAUAUUAGAUAAAUGGGAUAAGUGAUCCGCAUUAGCAUGUUUCUUUCCUGGUCGUACAUUGAUAGUAAAAUUAAAUUCUUGAAGUAAUAACACCCAUCGAGCAAUGCGUCUACUCAAUUGAAGCUUAUUAAUCAUGUAUUUAAGGACAUCAUGAUCCACAUAAAAGACAAAGGGAUACCCAAGCAAAUAGUGCCGAAAUUUCUGAACCGAGUAUAUCAUACCCAAUGCUUCUCCUUCAAUAGUAGUGUAAUUACGUUCGGCAGCCAUCAAUUACCAACUAGUAUAAUAGAUAGGAUGAUCCAGAUCCUGGUCAUCCUUCUGACUUAGCACCGAUCCAAUAGCCACAUUGGAUGCAUCAACAUACACAUGAAAGGGCUCGGUCCAAUGAGGGGCCACCAAUAUUGGAGUAGAGACCAAUUUUGACUUCAAUGCUUCAAAGACCACAGUACACUGCAUGGUCCAAAUCGGACUAGUUCCAUCUAAUGGAGGUUUUUUCAGUAAGUUCGUUAAAGAUUGAUAAGUAACUGCAAACGACCGAAUAAAUCGUCGAUAAUAACUGACAUGGCCGACGAACCCUCGAACACCGGAGACCAUCUCUGGUCUGGGCAAGUUCAUUAUAUGUAUCACUUUGUCCGGAUCCGUAGUGAUACCACGGCUAGAGAUGAUAUGUCCCAAUAAUUUUUUUGACGGAACAUUGAAUUGACAUUUAUCCGAGUUCAACAAUAUCCCAAACUUAGCACAAUGAGCCAAGCAUUUGCCGAGAUAAUUAAGAUGAUCUUAUUUUAUACUGAAUACAUAGAAGUCAUCUAAAAAGAUCUCCAUAAAUAGUCGGAGAUAGUCUUGGAAGGCUUGAGUCAUCACUCUCUGAAACAUGGCUGGAGCAUUACAUAAUCCAAAAGGCAUCAUGCGAUAAGUAAAUGUGCCCCAAUCCGUAGUAAAGGUCGUCUUGAGUUGGUCUUCCAUUGCAACUUGAACUUGAUUAUAUCCAAAAAAUCCAUCUAGGAACGAAUAACAUUUAUGACCUGCUAUAGUGUCUAAUAUACUAUCCGUGAAGGGCAAUGGGAAGUAAUCUUUCUUGGUGGCCGCAUUAAGUUUCCAAAAAUCUUAACAAAUUCGGAUUUUGCCAUUCUUUUUUGGCACCAUCACGAUUGGAGAAACCUACUCACUAUUUGGUAUUGGGUAAAUAAAACCAACCGCAAGAAGCUUGUUCAAUUUCUCCUUCACCAUGAGGGAAUAUUUAGGAUUAAGGCGAUGUUGUCUCUGCUAUACCGGUUUAGCAUUCUCCUCUAAAAUGAUACGAUGCUCACAGACUUGAGCGGGAAUACCUUUUAAAUCAUCAUAAGUCCAAGCAAAAGCGGAUUUAUGAUGCAAGAAAAAUUCGGUCCAGCAGGUCAACUCUUGUUCCUUAAUACCUUCAUAGACCUUAAUUCUCCGAGGUUCUGCUGUGGUCGCCAAGUUGAUAGUUUGACAUAAAGGUGCAACGACGAUGUUCUGUUUCAACCCCCAUGCUAGUUUAAAGUCAGUUGAUAAGUUUGACAUAUACAAAGUACUGAAUCUUGUGUCCAGGGCACUAAUAUGGUGCACAUCAUACUUGAUCAUCCAAUCAAUACUAACAUAAUCUUAGUUUUCCGAGUCCGUCGGGUAUAUCAAGUACUCCUCCUGAUCUCCACAUUGGUACACCACUCCAGGGUGAAGUGCUGCCUCCAUGAGCGCCUCCGUAAUUGGUGCUACUGCAUCAUCAUUGGAGCUAAGCUCAUCAUCCGACGUUAAUUCAGAUGCUAGCAAUUGAGACUCUCCAUGAUAUUGUACCGGGUAAAUCUGUAGAACAAUCUGGUCCUGGCCUUUUCCAAUUGUCAAUGUGCCUCGGCCCCAAUCGUUCUUAGCUUUGGCUUGAUAAAGCCAAGGUCUGUCCAAUAAAAUGGGAUACGAUAACGUAGAACUCUAUGAUCAGAAUACAAUAUAAUCAAUUUUGUAUGUCAAUCCCACGAUUACAGUGGCAAUAUUGCGUAAGAUUUCCAUUGGCUUUACCCAAUUAUGAUUUGCCAUUCGCAAGACCAAUGUCGUAGGUAGCAAUUGCUUUAAAUCCAAGUCCUCCAUUCUAUCCACAUUCAUUAAAUUCACACUGGAGCCACCAUCGACUUGUAUCCUUGGAAUUAAAAUGCCAUCGAUUGAUACAUCGAUUGUUGGUGAUCCUGGAUCUGGGUUUAAGCUAACUUCAUGAAUUUCUUUAGUGUGGGAUCUUCGUCGUAUUAACGCUGAAUUCAAGGUAGAUCGACAUUUCGGUGCUACAGCCAAAAGUUGCUUCAUUGUAAUUGAAGGCUGAAUAACAUCCAAAUCUCUCAGAAUGUCGUAGGAUUCUAUAUUGAGAGUAAUUUCCAAUGUUCUUUUACGUUUCAUUGGUUUUGAUUUUACUCUACUCGGCAGCAAUUCCUUCCUAGCGAUUGAGAUUGUCGUUGAUAACUUCGCUAACUUGUCUACCACUAAAGGUUCCUUUAAUGCGUAAGAUCUUUUGUUGGGCUGUAUAGGUAUUGGUACUUGGUCAGUUGGGAUUGAUCUUGAUGGUCCCGGCAAAUUGGCACGUGGGACCGAAUUGGGUUCUUCAAUCUGUUGAGGUCUCAAUAUUGGGAUACGUCCCAAUACUAAUAUUGGUUCGUUUAGCCCCGUAGACGGCGCUACUUGUUCUCCUGCGAUUGAUUCAUCCAUGUCUUGAAUUGGAUUCUUGUCUUUUUGUUGGCCUCUGGUAAGCACUACGUUCACCACCUCGACACGAUGUACUGGUGAGUCUUGUUGAACAGGGCCUUUGUCCUCCAUCGGUUGGCUUGUUUGCAUUUGCUGGUCCCGAUUAUUAUAAUUAAAGGGCGCAUUGCACUGCUGAUAAGUGUGACCAGACUGCUUACAAUUUCCACAUAUUGGAGCAUAGUCAUCAUUGGCCCUUGGAUUAGGACAUUCAUUAGCAUAAUGACCAAUUUAUCUACAACGAUAGCAACGAAGUGGUCUCCUACCAACUCCUUUAGGGAUAUUGGGUGUCUCUACGAGUAUAUAACGGCUAAGUCUGUUCCAUGUCGGAUGAGUAAAGGAUCUUGGUUGACCCAUUGUUACUGUAGAGUCUGGCAUUGGCUUUGUCAUGGGUGGAUAUUGAUGGUAUCUUGGUUAGUUCAUCGCCAAUCCAUGAGUAUUAGAUACACCUUUUUAAUAAAAUUCAGAGUUGAAGAAAUUAGAAUAAUUUCUGUUUUGUUUAUUCGCUCGAUUUCAAUUCCAGCCAAACCUAUUAUUCGUCUGUACUUGAUUGACAUCCCACAAAGUUGGUUCAGUCAUUAUCUGGUUACUGAGUUGUUGUUGCUUCCAUAAAUUCCAACAGUUGGUGGUAAUAUGCUUGCCCCCGCAAAAGGUACAUUAUACAGUCACUUGGGGUGGUGAAGGACAUUCUGUUACUAAAUGACCUGGCCCCUUACAAUUGUUGCACCAGACAUUGGGAUGCAUAUUGGUUGGUUUAUGCCUUUUUUCUUUAUCCUUGGCUAGAUUCACAACCAAUUCAUCCAUUUUUUUCAUCAAUGUUAACAGCAAUGACUCAUUAGGAUCCCUUGAUACCAAUGCAUUUGGCAAUUCUUUUGUAGGUAUUGAUUUUUGAUAUGCGGAAUAAAGCGCAUAUGGGUGUGAUGAUGAUGGUGGUAUAGCUUGCAAUGGAACAUCAUCCACUAUUCCCUGUGGAAUUGUACUAUAAUCAUUCCUUCCCAGAUAACUUCCCGAUGCGUCAUUCCAAUUUGUCAUUUGAUAAGCUCCCUGAGAUGGAAUCAUCAUGGCUCCAAUUGUUAAGUUUUGGUCAUAGUGACAUUCCUUCCAUACUUUUGCUCGCUCAAGAGAUGAUGUAAUGGUGGCUGAUUGGGCCUCUUUUACAAACAUUUUUAAUUCUGGUGGGUGUAGUCCAUUAACCAAUAUGGACAACACAAAUGAUUCCGACAUUUGGUUAUUUGGCCAUUUUCGAAGUAUAUCCGCUACACGACCAUGAUAUGACUAUACCGCUUCCCCUGGUACCAUUCUGCUAUUCAUUAAUUUUUCUCUAAGACGUUCUUCAAAACCAAUUGGUCGAAAAUGGGCUAAAAAUAUAUUUUUCAAUGCCUCCCAAUUGAUAAAUUGUCCCACAGGUUGGCGAUUAUACCACUCAAACGCUGUGUCUUUGAAUGUCACUGACAGCCAUCUCAGCCAAAUGUCUUCUGUUCUUCCAUUAUUGGCUACACACGCCGUCAAGAAUUGAGACAAAUGUUGAUCUGGAUCUGCACCUCGCAAACCCCGAAAAGUAGGUAAUGGCGCGAUGCUAGUCGUUCGAUCGCCUACUGCACCCAUUUGAACUGCAAUCAAAACUGCUUGUCCUCCGGACGUCAUUAUAGAUGCCGGUGUUCCGCUCAAUUUCUUAUUAAAAUAAAAACCGUCUCCCACAAAAGUCUUUUUCAGACUUCUAGGCCUUUCCAAUUGACUAUUAUUCUUCCCAAAUAAUUUUACUGGUUGAAUAUGAGGUGAAAAUGACAGGUUUUGAUAUACUCUGAAUUGAUCUUUAUUGACAAGUAAUUUAUGCCGAUCUUCAGAACUAGUCUUGUUAGAAUCAGACGUACUUCCAAUUGAGAAGAUAUCCAUUGGGGUACCUAAUUCCUCUGUGCCUUCCUCGUUUUCCAUUAACAGCUUCAAGAGGUUUGCUGGACUAUUAGCAGCGCUCCCCGCGAGUGCUCUUGGCAAUUUCUUUAACGGUAUGUACUUCUGAAAUAUUAGAGAUCGAUCGUCUUCUGGAUACGAUCGAAUAUGCUGACAAGUAUGCAACCACGGCUUAAUCCAACUUUGUCGAUGCUUCUUUUUUAAUUUACGAUCUCGCUCAUUACGCAACAAAUUUCUUGCUUGCGAUCUCUCUGUUCUUUCCUUUGAUUGCUUUAUUCUCUUUGCUGUUAAAUUCUCAUUCUUAAUAACCAUACUCUUACUUCAAACACUACUGAAAUCGUCUUCCAUUGCCAAUUUUCUCACACGUUUGGUAAUUAAUUCUUAACACUGAAAGCUAUUAUCACUCCCCGGCAGUGGCGCCAAAAUGUGAUUGCUCGUUUUACUUAUUCCGGAAGAAACCUCCCAGCAUAAAUCCGUAUAGGGGGAUUCAAACAUGGGGAAUGACUAGUUGCUUAAGCGUUCACAUUAGGGUCACACAAUCAAUUACCUCUUGAAUGUAUCAUCUCUAUUUCCAAUAUCUGAACACAUAAAGAAACUAUAAUCUCCUCCUUCACCUUAUCGGUCUCUUCCUUACAGCAAUUCAGUCAUACCAAUAACUGCUAUUUCUAUCAAUAUAUUCACCCUCAUAAUCUCCAACUGUAAUACAGCGCCUUCACAGCUUUCAGCACACAAUUAUCCUCGUUCUAAUCACUGGAAUUCUUCACACAGAACUGCCAUUCACAUUACAAUGUUUCACACAAAUACAGACUCAUUCUCUCUGCUAAACUACAAUCACAUUUCAGCAUUUAAUCUUUCUUCUUCUCAAAUAAUACCAAUCAUAUUUCCAUUCCAUAAUUCACUUCACAAUAUUCAGAAACUUUCAAUCCUCUUAUUCAAAGAAAAUAACAAACAAAAGAAAAGAGGUAGCACCAAGCUUACCCCGGCUCACAACUCUCAUAGUCUUUUCUUCCCCUCUCCCAUCCUCCUCAUACUACCCCGAGAUACCAACUCCCAGAUGAUAACUACUUUUCCUAACUAUUCAUCCAUUCUACUUGCUGAACCACCUUUUCAGCAGUUAUCUAUCCCUGUUUAUACUAUACACUAGGUAUCUACAUUCUGAAAAUAACUACUUAUUCUACA
RNAcentral lists this long non-coding RNA (9897 nucleotides) under Physcomitrium patens. Its description in RNAcentral is "long non-coding RNA (PPAT_LNC012671)". Lineage: Eukaryota; Viridiplantae; Streptophyta; Bryopsida; Funariales; Funariaceae. The record is from RNAcentral.